Molecule: ribosomal RNA, 719 nt
Filed under: uncultured bacterium
Lineage: Bacteria
Description: bacterial SSU rRNA
Rfam family: Bacterial small subunit ribosomal RNA
Source: RNAcentral
AGUUGCGAACGGGUGAGUAACGCGUAGGUAACCUGCCUACUAGCGGGGGAUAACUAUUGGAAACGAUAGCUAAUACCGCAUAACAGCAUUUAACCCAUGUUAGAUGCUUGAAAGGAGCAAUUGCUUCACUAGUAGAUGGACCUGCGUUGUAUUAGCUAGUUGGUGAGGUAACGGCUCACCAAGGCGACGAUACAUAGCCGACCUGAGAGGGUGAUCGGCCACACUGGGACUGAGACACGGCCCAGACUCCUACGGGAGGCAGCAGUAGGGAAUCUUCGGCAAUGGGGGCAACCCUGACCGAGCAACGCCGCGUGAGUGAAGAAGGUUUUCGGAUCGUAAAGCUCUGUUGUAAGAGAAGAACGUGUGUGAGAGUGGAAAGUUCACACAGUGACGGUAACUUACCAGAAAGGGACGGCUAACUACGUGCCAGCAGCCGCGGUAAUACGUAGGUCCCGAGCGUUGUCCGGAUUUAUUGGGCGUAAAGCGAGCGCAGGCGGUUUAAUAAGUCUGAAGUUAAAGGCAGUGGCUUAACCAUUGUUCGCUUUGGAAACUGUUAGACUUGAGUGCAGAAGGGGAGAGUGGAAUUCCAUGUGUAGCGGUGAAAUGCGUAGAUAUAUGGAGGAACGCCGGUGGCGAAAGCGGCUCUCUGGUCUGUAACUGACGCUGAGGCUCGAAAGCGUGGGGAGCGAACAGGAUUAGAUACCCUGGUAGUCCACGCC